GGGGAUUUAGCUUGGUGGCAUAAGCACCUGCCUUGUAAGCAGGCGGUCAUGAGUUUGAUCCCUG
RNAcentral lists this transfer RNA (64 nucleotides) under Cavia porcellus (domestic guinea pig). It matches the Rfam family "tRNA", at positions 1 to 62 of the family's 71-position model. From Rfam's summary of the family: Transfer RNA (tRNA) molecules are approximately 80 nucleotides in length. Their secondary structure includes four short double-helical elements and three loops (D, anti-codon, and T loops). Further hydrogen bonds mediate the characteristic L-shaped molecular structure. tRNAs have two regions of fundamental functional importance: the anti-codon, which is responsible for specific mRNA codon recognition, and the 3' end, to which the tRNAs corresponding amino acid is attached (by aminoacyl-tRNA synthetases). tRNAs cope with the degeneracy of the genetic code in two manners: having more than one tRNA (with a specific anti-codon) for a particular amino acid; and 'wobble' base-pairing, i.e. permitting non-standard base-pairing at the 3rd anti-codon position. The record is from Rfam by way of RNAcentral. Lineage: Eukaryota; Metazoa; Chordata; Mammalia; Rodentia; Caviidae.